RNAcentral lists this transfer RNA (74 nucleotides) under Sphaerodactylus townsendi. RNAcentral's name for it is "tRNA-Ala". Lineage: Eukaryota; Metazoa; Chordata; Lepidosauria; Squamata; Sphaerodactylidae. The record is from RNAcentral.
GGAGGGGUCUGGCUCAGUGGAAAAGCAUCUGCUUGGCAUGCGGAAGGGCCCAGGUUCAAUCCCCAUCACCUCCA